RNAcentral lists this ribosomal RNA (117 nucleotides) under Streptomyces sp. SPB074. Lineage: Bacteria; Bacillati; Actinomycetota; Actinomycetes; Kitasatosporales; Streptomycetaceae. RNAcentral also lists the same sequence under 1 other name. The record is from RNAcentral.
UUCGGUGGUCAUAGCGUGAGGGAAACGCCCGGUCCCAUUUCGAACCCGGAAGCUAAGCCUCAAAGCGCCGAUGGUACUGCAAGGGGGACCUUGUGGGAGAGUAGGACGCCGCCGAAC